CAAAGUACCAACUAGAACCAAAAUGCAAUAAAAAAGGUCUCUUAUUUAUGUUUUGAUUGGUCAAGAUGUCCAAGAGAAAAGUCGUUUACAGACGGAAAAAAAAUACACAUAACAGUAAAACCAGUAGAUCCCUCGUUACGCUCGGAUUUCGAACGUAAGUUUAAACAUCUUAUAUUUCCGUUAUGUUCGCCCGUCCGUAUAGUUACCGUAUACUUAAUGCAUGGUUACGGUUGUCGAUUUAGUUAAUAAGGAGUCGCAUA
Cinara cedri is the source of this 260-nucleotide non-coding RNA. NCBI's taxonomy places the organism in Eukaryota, Metazoa, Arthropoda, Insecta, Hemiptera, Aphididae. The record is from the annotation of a GenBank genome assembly.